Physella acuta is the source of this 553-nucleotide long non-coding RNA. RefSeq lists it as uncharacterized. NCBI's taxonomy places the organism in Eukaryota, Metazoa, Mollusca, Gastropoda, Physidae. The record is from RefSeq and is a predicted model, not a curated record.
CCUUGUACCCACCCCACCUCAGCCAGUGGGUGCCGGCCUACCGCUACCUGCUUGGGUGGAUUUCAUGAGUGGGAACGUUCCGACACAUCUCUCUAGUGCACCGUGCUACUUGUGCUACGACGUUUUCAUGGAUAGUUUUCUCUUUGUGCUAUGCCGUGUGCAUUGAUACAGUCUAAGAAAGGUUCCAUGGGAAGGUGUAUAUAUCGAGGAGUUACCCUGGAACUGACAUUGUUCUUUUUGACCUGGAUUAAACGGAUUCCAUAGAAGACAGGAUACUUGAAUGUAUCAAGCUUGUGGAUAACCUGCACCCAGCUUGUGGAUAGCCUGCACACAGCUUGUGGAUACCCUGCACCCAACGACUGGAUAGAAUUAACGAGUUUGUGGAUGAUUGCUGGAUAGAAAAACAGAUUGAUAGUAGCUGAGCACAGCUCGUACCUUCCAGAGUGUGGACCACGGGAGUUGGGCCUAGAAAGGAGCCAUUGUACUCAACAUGUGUGGGUGUGACCUUCAUGUUGGAUUACUAUAUCAAUGCUGGGAAACUUACUAACAAAUG